RNAcentral lists this unclassified non-coding RNA (1010 nucleotides) under uncultured cyanobacterium. RNAcentral's name for it is "bacterial SSU rRNA". The stretch from base 1 to 716 matches the Rfam family "Bacterial small subunit ribosomal RNA", at positions 822 to 1533 of the family's 1533-position model. The record is from RNAcentral. Lineage: Bacteria; Bacillati; Cyanobacteriota.
GUAGCUUGUAUCGACCCGAGCUGUGCCGAAGCUAACGCGAUAAGUAUCCCGCCUGGGGAGUACGCACGCAAGUGUGAAACUCAAAGGAAUUGACGGGGGCCCGCACAAGCGGUGGAGUAUGUGGUUUAAUUCGAUGCAACGCGAAGAACCUUACCAGGGCUUGACAUGUCGCGAAUCUAGCGGAAGCGUUAGAGUGCCUUAGGGAAUGCGAACACAGGUGGUGCAUGGCUGUCGUCAGCUCGUGCCGUGAGAUGUUGGGUUAAGUCCCGCAACGAGCGCAACCCUCGUCCUUAGUUGCCAAUAUUAAGUUAGGCACUCUAGGGAGACUGCCGGGGACAACUCGGAGGAAGGUGGGGAUGUCGUCAAGUCAGCAUGCCCCUUACGUCCUGGGCGACACACGUACUACAAUGGUUGGGACAAAGGGCAGCAAACUCGCGAGAGUAAGCGAAUCUCAUCAAACCCAGCCACAGUUCAGAUUGCAGGCUGCAACUCGCCUGCAUGAAGUAGGAAUCGCUAGUAAUCGCAGGUCAGCAUACUGCGGUGAAUUCGUUCCCGGGCCUUGUACACACCGCCCGUCACACCAUGGAAGCUGGCUACGCCCGAAGUCGUUACCCUAACCCGGUUUUGGGAGGGGGAUGCCGAAGGUAGAGCUAGUGACUGGGGUGAAGUCGUAACAAGGUAGCCGUACCGGAAGGUGUGGCUGGAUCACCUCCUUUACAGGGAGACCUAGUCUAAUUACCAAUAGAUAAAAAAGUUGGUAAUUCGCAAGAAUCCUUAGGUUGUGAGGGGAGCAAGAAAAAACUUUCAAACUGUAAUGGGUGAGGGUCAGUGGGCUAUUAGCUCAGGUGGUUAGAGCGCACCCCUGAUAAGGGUGAGGUCCCUGGUUCAAGUCCAGGAUGGCCCACCUAAAAUACACAGGCAUCCUGCCUGUGCCACAAAAAAAGGAAAAAGUUUUGGCAUUGUCUCUUGUAAUCAAGAGCAAGAGAUAAUGCUGGAAUAGAUUCCAGCAA